RNAcentral lists this ribosomal RNA (264 nucleotides) under uncultured Lactobacillus sp. Its description in RNAcentral is "partial 16S ribosomal RNA". It matches the Rfam family "Bacterial small subunit ribosomal RNA", at positions 272 to 524 of the family's 1533-position model. Lineage: Bacteria; Bacillati; Bacillota; Bacilli; Lactobacillales; Lactobacillaceae. The record is from RNAcentral.
GGCGAUGAUGCAUAGCCGAGUUGAGAGACUGAUCGGCCACAUUGGGACUGAGACACGGCCCAAAAACUCCUACGGGAGGCAGCAGUAGGGAAAUCUUCCACAAUGGACGCAAGUCUGAUGGAGCAACGCCGCGUGAGUGAAGAAGGGUUUCGGCUCGUAAAGCUCUGUUGUUGGUGAAGAAGGACAGGGGUAGUAACUGACCUUUGUUUGACGGUAAUCAAUUAGAAAGUCACGGCUAACUACGUGCCAGCAGCCGCGGGUAAU